Molecule: long non-coding RNA, 5228 nt
Filed under: Brassica napus (rape)
Lineage: Eukaryota; Viridiplantae; Streptophyta; Magnoliopsida; Brassicales; Brassicaceae
Description: long non-coding RNA (BNAP_LNC000857)
Source: RNAcentral
CAAGCAGACCUGAGAUUCUCGCUGGUGACUGACUCCAGGAGUCCUCUUUCUUGGAGUAUAUCGACUACAUUAGGGCGAGAAACAGCUUGAACUUCUGUCUCAAGAGUUGAGCACUUAACAGGUGCGAACAGAGGAGUUGUAGACGUGGAGAAAAGGUGAUGAAUUUGGUGCCUUCUGAAGAAAGUGGUGGAGGAUUUCUCAGGAAAACUGAGUAAAGAAGCCACACGCAAGGGAGAUAAGAAGGUUUUUGAACAAAUAGGGAUGAGACUCCUUGAAGCAAGCGUCAUUCCUGUUGUAUAUGCCAUAGGUUUAUCAUAUGAUGAUGAUACCUUUCUUGAACAGAGGAGCUGUUACCUACAACUAAACAUUAAAUAGAAACACCAUCAGCUAAAAAAAUGGUGAAUUACCGAUCUCUCUGCUAGUAAAUAGACUAUUUUAUUAGAUAAGGAAACAAAGCUAGCUGCAAAACAAAAACAAUUCUCAGGGAGUCAAUUUGACGAACACCUUAUGGGCAUUAACAAUACAGUCCCACAUUACUCCAUGAAAACACGGAAACACUAUCGUUCAAUCUCCAAAACUGUAAAAAAAUUUAAAAGGAAUCCCAAAAGAUUACACCAAGAACUAUAAAGGAAUCAUCAUUGCAUCUCACACACUAAUGCAUUCCAAGAACAGAGCGAAAGAAACUACUUGAGAGGAACAAACAAAUUAAUAUGUAUACUGCAUAACACACACCUAAAAUGGAUAAAGAAUCAAACUUUGAGAAGCAAAGUGCUUACUGGUUUUGUAGCUCUGGGAAUGGAUUUUGUUUUCUACCUUUGCUUUGCCCCACACACAGACCAAAUGCUUUGAGAAACAUGAUAAACCGAUUAAUCUCCGGUCUAAAUUCAGACAUACUAAACCGGUCUGCUUUUUUUAAUUUAAUUUUGUCGUUCCACUGAGUGAAUAAAAUAUUUAUUUACAUGUUUCUCUGAUGAAAAUAAAAAUUCGAUAUUUUCUCAAAAACAAAAAAAAAACAUGUGGUCGUUACUUGUCUGUUAAACUCGAAAAGAACCAAACUUUUAUCCUCUCUCUCUCUUCUUCAGCUUACAAUGGAGUGGCCAUGGUCAGCCAUCGCUGCUUCUUCUUCUCCUUAUUCUUCUAGAUGCUUCUUUACAUCUCCCAACUCUUGCUUGUCUCUUACUAGACGAGCGAAUUUGAACUCUUCGAUUAAACCUUUGCGACACAUCGGAUUCGACUCGAAGCAUCAUAAUCUGAUCACCAAACGUCGAGUCCAUGGAGACUCCAUCGUCCGGAGAAGCACCACAAGCAGUAAAAACGCAGAGGAGACUGAGUCCUCUGUAGAGUGCGUGGGAAUGGGAUCAGACGUGGAGUGCGUCUACACCGGAGAAGGAGAAGACGAGGAGGAGGAGAAUCGGAGCUCCGGAAUCUUGAGCGGAGGAGACGGAUCGUUGCUCGAAUGGGCGGUUCUGAUCUCGCCAUUCUUUUUCUGGGGAACGGCGAUGGUGGCGAUGAAGGAAGUGUUGCCGAUAACCGGUCCGUUCUUCGUGGCUGCGUUCCGGUUAAUUCCGGCCGGUUUGUUGUUGGUUGCGUUUGCGGUUUACAGAGGGAGGCCUUUGCCUAAGGGGUUCGAUGCUUGGCUCUCUAUUGCUCUCUUUGCUCUUGUGGACGCUACUUGUUUCCAGGUCUGCCUUAGAGUUUAGUUGAUUAAGUAUUGUCUGAACAAUAAUAAUAAUAAUAAUUAUUAUAAUAAUAAUGGUGAUGUUUGAUGGUUCAGGGCUUUCUUGCUCAAGGAUUACAGAGGACUUCUGCUGGUUUAGGAAGUGUAAGGAAGCUCUCUCUCUCUGUCUGCUACCUUUGUACUAAUGUCUGUAAUGACCAAAAGUCUGAGACUUUCUUUUCGUGUAGGUUAUAAUUGAUUCACAGCCACUGACUGUAGCUGUAUUAGCAUCUUUUUUAUUUGGUGAGUCCAUUGGAAUAGUGAGAGCUGGAGGUUUGGUUCUUGGUGUUGCUGGACUUUUGCUUCUUGAGGUAAAUAAGAUUUUUAUCUUUCUUAGCCAAGACUGUUCUUGCAAGUUGAGGAUAAGUCUGAUUUACUAUUACUACAGGUUCCAUCAGUUACCUCAGAUGGUGAUAGCUUUUCUUUGUGGGGAAGUGGAGAGUGGUGGAUGCUUCUUGCAGCUCAGAGUAUGGCUAUUGGCACUGUGAUGGUUCGAUGGGUCUCAAAAUACUCGGAUCCAAUUAUGGCAACCGGCUGGGUAAUGAUGUUUUGUCCUUGUCUCUUAGAGUUAUCCUGACAAGAACUAAACUGAACAUGUCUCAAAUUAUAUCUGCAGCAUAUGGUUCUUGGUGGCCUUCCUCUUCUGGCGAUAUCAGUUAUAAACCAAGACCCGGUUUUUAACGGCAGUCUUCAGGAGCUAUCCACAAAUGAUAUCAUAGCACUUCUCUACACAUCUAUAUUUGGCAGUGCGGUUAGCUACGGUGUUUACUUCUACAGCGCUACUAAAGGUUCUAUUUUGCUGCCUUCUCUUGAUAGUAUAUGGCUGCUUUAUGUUUCAGGUCUUUGAUGCUUUUAUAAUGACUCUCUCUCUCUCUCUCUCUUUGCAGGAAGCUUGACUAAACUCAGCUCACUCACCUUUUUGACACCAAUGUUUGCAUCAAUCUUUGGGUAAGGCCACAUGGUUCUUUCUUAUCAGUCUUUGGAUCGUAUUCUGAUAUGUUUGGUUCUGAAACAGGUAUCUGUACCUUGAUGAGACUUUCUCCUCGCUGCAACUGGUCGGAGCAGCCGUCACUUUGGUCGCGAUAUACUUGGUCAAUUUUCCAGAAGGCAACAACUGAUACACUCAGUUUUCAAAGCUUCUUAUGAAUGUUAAAACAUAAUUACGUUCGAUUACAUUUGUAUAUAUAGUUAAGUGAACAAUCAUUAGUCCAGCAAACACCUUUAAUUAAGGUUUCAUCAUAUUAACAUAAGAAAUGAAGUUGCACAAUUCGAUACAACCGAAAACAUAUGAUCUUAGUUCACAAGAAUUACAAUCAGAGAUCGAUCAUAGUCCCAAGCACAGACCAGUUGUCUGCGUAGUUCCCGGUUAACUUGUCUUUUUCUCCUCCGGUUUAGUUUCCAUCCCAUCCAUAUCAGCAACUAGUCUCUCCUCCGGUUUAGUUUCCAUCCCAGCCAGAUCAUCCAUAUCAGCAACUAGUCUCUCCACAGGCACCUUGCUCACAUCCCAUCGCAUGCCAAUGUCUGAAACCAAACGACUGGCGCAGUACAUCCCAUAUCCCGCCACAGCCAAACUACCAAACCCCGCAACAAACCUGAGUGGUGAAGAGAGCACAACGCUGGCAGCUGCAACAAUCGAAGCGGCUUGACCACUCCUUCCCACGUCAGUGUUCGCCACAAGCAAACCAGUUUUGCAAUAGAUGGCGAAAUCCUCGCAGUUGUUCUUGAAAACAUUGUAAACGCCGAAACCGUUUCGCAAGAGGAAGUUCGCUCGGUGGAUGACUUCUUCCGGAGGAUCCGAAUCUCCUAUUGUGCAUGUGCCGCCUCGAGGCUUGGCGAGAAAGAUAGCGGGAGAGACGCUGUACUCGAAGACGUAGAGAUCACCUCCAGCGAGGAAGCAGUUGAGACAGGAAGAGAUCACACCACCAACCUUGGUUCUAUCACCACAGUUAGGACACGGGGUGUCCCCAUGAUUAUGGGAUGAACUGACAAUGAGGUUGUCCAAGAAAGUCCCGGUUCCAGUCUCUUGACCAUCCCCACGAGUGAAAUGGUUGACUUGUCCUUCACCCACAUAGAUUCCUACAAAUCACACACACAUCACAAAGAAGAAAAGAUCCCAAAACGAUCUUAUUAGUCUAAAGCAACACUUUUAUCUACAAACAUAAUGAGUCCAAGGGGAAGUUAAAUAAGACUGCGCCAAGAACAAUAUAGCAUGAGCAAAACUUCAAACUUGUUCCUCUUAACACACUAGGAUUCACUUCAGGCCUAUUCAUCUAAAUACACACAGCUAAAUGGACUCCAAAUCAUAGCAUCGUUGGAGUCUACAGAAUGAGCCUUGAGCCUUGAGCCUCAUCGAGUCUAAAACAAGUUAGCUAUACCAUUCACAUUCCCUUACAAUGAUCAAAGGAUCACUUUAACAUUCAUAUCAACGAAUCUAAUCAGUUAUUCUACAAUUGAUGCAGCUACAGUUUCAAUUGGAUCAUCUAGCAUGUAGUACAUUGUACGCAUCUGUAACGAGAGAGAGAGAUCGUGAUACCGUGAUGAGCGUAGACAUAGGCCUGACGCCAUGAAUAGAUGUGAUCGCCUGGCUUCACUUCAUCUCUGGCAAUCGCAGGAGAGGAAACGUUAGUCCGUAAGCAGCUUCUUCCGUCUGGAGAAUCUUACGUAUCAGAUCAGUUCCAGCUGUUAUGUUACCCCAUUGAUCACUCCCACCUAUCUGAACAUUGACCCCUUCCUUGUCAAACAAGUGAACAAAGUCAUAGCCUUGCAGUAACUGAUAGCUGAACUCGGUGUAGCUCAUCCCCUGCUCUGAUUCCAAUCUCUUCUUCACACUCUCCUUCGCCAUCAUUACUCCAACCCUCGCAAACCGACCAACCUUUUUCAGAAAGUCCAGCAUGAUCAUAUCUUUCCACCAGUCAUAGUUAUUAAAAAUCACAUAAGAGCUAGCAUCGCCACCAAGAAUCUUGACGAGGAUGUUUUUAAUACCGGCGAUGUUUUUCUCCAAUGUAACGGCGUCAAGCUCAGGUCUUUCUAGGCUUUUACCAGAUGGGUCACCAACCCUUCCAGUGGCGCCACCGAUCAAACCAACGGCUUGAUGUCCACAUCUCUGGAACCAAGAAAGGACAAUGAUACCAAGCAGGUUACCCAAGUGUAAACUCUCAGCCGUUGGAUCAAACCCGCAGUAGACCUUUAGAGGAGCUACGUUGGGAUCAGAACAAGCAGACCUGAGAUUCUCGCUGGUGACUGACUCCAGGAGUCCUCUUUCUUGGAGUAUAUCGACUACAUUAGGGCGAGAAACAGCUUGAACUUCUGUCUCAAGAGUUGAGCACUUAACAGGUGCGAACAGAGGAGUUGUAGACGUGGAGAAAAGGUGAUGAAUUUGGUGCCUUCUGAAGAAAGUGGUGGAGGAUUUCUCAGGAAAACUGAGUAAAGAAGCCACACGCAAGGGAGAUAAGAAGGUUUUUGAACAAAUAGGGAUGAGACUCCUUGAAGCAAGCGUCAUUCCUGUUGUAUA